Molecule: long non-coding RNA, 2030 nt
Organism: Frieseomelitta varia
Lineage: Eukaryota; Metazoa; Arthropoda; Insecta; Hymenoptera; Apidae
Exons: 4
Source: RefSeq, a predicted model, not a curated record
CGACGUAGCGGCGGGACUGGGCGACGAACAACGAGCAACGGCGCAUUCUCGCUUAGCACGCAGAUAAGAAUACUUUCUUAGAGCAAGGUGCACGGUUGUUUCGUAAAUAAUUCGAAAAGCGCCAAACAGUGGCGAACUAUGAGAUUUGCACGAGCUACGAGUAAUUACGUAUAAUACAGUAAUCCUUAUUUAAACGUUCGCACUUUCACCGAUUUAAACGUCCGUCGAUACAGUAAUCCCCACCAUUCCUUGAAAUUGGGACUAUCUGCACUACCUUACCGACCUGUCGAAGGCCGUGCGAAACAAGACACUUGCACGACACAAAGCGAGUGAUACUCGAUACUAAUAUUUCGGUGCUAAUUCGUAGAAAACACAUCUCCACUUAAGCGUCCACUCUCGGUCCCGACUGUGGACGCUUAAAUGAGGAUUAUUAUAACGGUCCGGUGCACAACUACGUGAAGAAAGAAUCUAGAAAACUAGAAAGGCAAUUUUCGGCGUUUGAUAUUGCUACGUUGAAGUCUACGAAAAUUCAAUUGACUGUCGAAUUGGGAUCAAAUCACGUGGCCAGUUAAUGUGCAACGAGCGUGCAAGACAGCAAAUGGCAGUUAACUAAGUUCAGCCACUGAUUCACCGUAAAUAAUACAAAAGGAAAACGCACGGGAAUUGCGUAGCGUACAGGCGGCGUUGCACGAGAACGAAUGAUUCACACUUCCGAGCAAAUCGCUGAACGACGAUACAAUAACUCAGCUGGCGCGUUUUCGCCGUAUAGAUUUACAUUAUACCGCGUAAUUAGCGACCUGCUCGCACCGACGACAUCCGACGAACUGAAAUAACUGUGAUAACAGGAAAUCUCAGUCUUAAGUUUCAGCACUUACAUUAGAUUAUGAAAGAAAAGAUUCGAGCGAGCGCAUAAGGGCGUAUAUGCAUAUAUUUACACAUGGUAUGUACGGCUUCGAUUAUUGGUUCGUCAACUGCGAGAGAAAUCAAAAACAUUCGCACGAUCGCAAUGCACACACUGUAUGUAUCUUCCUUAUUCUUAUUCUUACUUCGAAUACAUCAGACACAUCUCAUCAGGCAAAAGGUGAGAAAACAAGCGGAAAAGAACGUGUAUCUUUUUAUCGAAAUUCCGUGCAAUUAGCGCAGAGAUAGUACCUUCCAGACUUCCAGUGAACAUCGGGUAAACAAAUCAAUGGCGCAUGCCGAAGACUUCGAAUAUAGUCCGACGAGAUAUACGUACAUAUGUUCCAGAUAAAGAAUAUAAUCCAAUCUAUAGCGAAGCAUCGCAUAGGAUGGUUGUUGCGUGGAAUCAGCAGAAAAAAAAAAAAACGUCGGUGAUGUGACCUAAUCCGUUCGUUUGACCGAUUUGAGAAGAAGAAAAAAUACUUUUUCUUUUUUCAAACGUACAGAUUACAAUCGUUGCACUUUGAACCUUCGAUUUGUAAUUACAAACUUUUUCCCGAUUGCGUAAUCUCGCAAACGUUUGUUAUGUAACUGUUACAGCAAAAAAAAGAAAAAAGAAAAAAAGGAAAAAAAAAUGAGAAAGAACAAAGUCGUGUUGCGUAGGUCACGCACGUACUACGAACAAGCAGCAGAAAGUGAUAAACGAUAGCGAGGUUUUUGAUCGCGAGCCCCACCACCGUGUAAGCCGAGUUUAAUCAAGUGUGCGCGAAGAAAAUAACGCAAUAGCGUUAGUUUUAUGGCUCGGUAAUAAAACAUAUUUCUAACGGAAGUUUACUUACGUCGCGCAACUAUAUAUGUAUACGAAUCAUGAAUGGGAACCUUAGUAGUUUGUCACGUUUCACCAGCUAUUAUGACUAACUAGAAAUAUACGUUUGCAGAAUUAAAAGGUCGUACGAUAUUGCAACACUUCUGAGAACCAUUACAAUUAACUGUGAUUAUUGUGCUAAGCACGUUUUAUAGAAAUAUAAUAAUUUUGACAUACAUAUUUGUCAAAAAAAAAAAAAAAAAAAAAAAUCAUUGAUAAAUAAUCAUCGCACAAAUACAUCUGGUAUAUUGUACAUACAUAAACA